GGAUCAUCAGGUAGGUCGUGUCACUGGUAUGUACUUGCCUUGAUGGUUCCUCCCUCUUGAAGAACCGUAAUGUCAUUAAUUUGGUGUUGCGGGGAAUCAGGACUGUUACUUUGAAAAAAUUAGAGUGUUUAAAGCAGGCUCACGCUUGAAUACAUUAGCAUGGAAUAAUAGAAUAGGACU
This 180-nucleotide ribosomal RNA is filed under the name uncultured Glomeromycotina. Its description in RNAcentral is "partial small subunit ribosomal RNA". The stretch from base 40 to 180 matches the Rfam family "Eukaryotic small subunit ribosomal RNA", at positions 686 to 829 of the family's 1831-position model. The record is from RNAcentral. Lineage: Eukaryota; Fungi; Glomeromycota.